Non-coding RNA from Suillus weaverae, 82 nucleotides. NCBI's taxonomy places the organism in Eukaryota, Fungi, Basidiomycota, Agaricomycetes, Boletales, Suillaceae. The record is from the annotation of a GenBank genome assembly.
GGCGAUAUAGUGUAGUGGUUAUCACUCGGGAUUUUGACAUGCAAAUCCUCCCGGAACCCAGGUUCGAACCCUGGUAUCGCCU